GAAGGUUAAUCCACCCAGGGUUAGUCGAUCCUAAGCCGAGGCCGAAAGGCGUAGGUGAUGGAAAAUCUGUCAAUAUUCAGAUACCGCUCGUCACGCGUUACGAGCCAUGGAGCGACGCAGGAGGUAGGACAAGCGACCGGUUGGAUGUGGUCGUCUAAGCUCGUAGAUCUUAACAGAUCGAGAGGCGAAUGGGAGCCCAAACUACGGUGCGGGCGAACUUGUCCGGUUCCACGCUGCCAAGAAAAACCUUCGUGGUGAGUUUGGUGAGUGAUCGUACCGCAAACCGACACAGGUAGGCGAGGAGAAUAUCCUCAGGCGCUCGAACUAACGCUCGUUAAGGAACUAGGCAAAAUAGCCCCGUAACUUCGGAAGAAGGGGUGCUCCAUUAGCGUCAAGUAAAUACUUAUGUAGCGCGAAGGAGUGACACUAAAGUGGGUUCUGUGACUGUUUAGCAAAAACACAUGGCUCUGCUAACUCGUAAGAGGAUGUAUAGGGCCUGAUACCUGCCCGGUGCUGGAAGGUUAAGGGGAUUUGUCAGGGGGUAACUCCGAAGCAUUGAACCGAAGCCCCAGUAAACGGCGGCCGUAACUAUAACGGUCCUAAGGUAGCGAAAUUCCUUGUCGGGUAAGUUCCGACCUGCACGAAUGGCGUAACGACUUCCGCACUGUCUCAACCAGGGACUCAGUGAAAUUGUAUUGGCGGUGAAGAUGCCGUCUACCCGCGAAAAGACGGAAAGACCCCGGCACCUUUACUACAGCUUGACAUUGGAUUUUGGAAUAGGAUGUGUAGGAUAGGUGGGAGGCAUUGAAGCUGGGACGCUAGUUCUGGUGGAGCCACCCUUGAAAUACCACCCUUUUUAUUUUAGAGUUCUAACUUCGACCCAUGAACUGGGCGAAAGACAGUGUCUGGUGGGUAGUUUGACUGGGGCGGUCGCCUCCCAAAGUGUAACGGAGGCGCGCGAAGGUUCCCUCAGGCUGAUUGGAAACCAGCCGUGGAGUGUAAAGGCAUAAGGGAGCUUGACUGCGAGAGAGACAUUUCGAGCAGGUACGAAAGUAGGUCUUAGUGAUCCGGCGAUUCUGAAUGGAAGGGUCGUCGCUCAACGGAUAAAAGGUACGCCGGGGAUAACAGGCUUAUCGCCCCCAAGAGUUCACAUCGACGGGGCGGUUUGGCACCUCGAUGUCGGAUCAUCACAUCCUGGGGCUGGAGCAGGUCCCAAGGGUUCGGCUGUUCGCCGAUUAAAGCGGUACGUGAGCUGGGUUUAGAACGUCGUGAGACAGUUCGGUCCCUAUCUGAUGUGGGCGCAGGAUAUUUGAGAGGAGCUGUCCUUAGUACGAGAGGACCGGGAUGGACGAACCUCUAGUGUACCAGUUGUUCCGCCAGGGGCAUCGCUGGGUAGCUAUGUUCGGAAAGGAUAACCGCUGAAAGCAUCUAAGCGGGAAACCUACCUCAAGAUUAGAUAUCCCUUUCCGGUGGUGACACCGGAGCUAAAGACCCCUUGUAGACUACAAGGUUGAUAGGCCAGAGGUGUAAGUCCAGAAAUGGAUUGAGCUUACUGGUACUAAUGGGUCGUGCGGCUUGACCAU
RNAcentral lists this ribosomal RNA (1583 nucleotides) under Anaerolineales bacterium. RNAcentral's name for it is "partial 23S ribosomal RNA". It matches the Rfam family "Bacterial large subunit ribosomal RNA", at positions 1360 to 2925 of the family's 2925-position model. The record is from RNAcentral. Lineage: Bacteria; Bacillati; Chloroflexota; Anaerolineae; Anaerolineales.